This 3169-nucleotide ribosomal RNA is filed under the name Gossypioides kirkii. RNAcentral describes it as "eukaryotic LSU rRNA". The stretch from base 909 to 3028 matches the Rfam family "Eukaryotic large subunit ribosomal RNA". The record is from RNAcentral. Lineage: Eukaryota; Viridiplantae; Streptophyta; Magnoliopsida; Malvales; Malvaceae.
UUAGCAUGGGAUAACAUCAUAGGAUUUUAAUACUAUUGUUUUGGCCUUCGGUAUGUAAUGAUUAAUAGGGAUAGUUAGGUGCAUUCGUAUUUCAUAGUUAGAGGUGAAAUUCUUGGAUUUAUGAAAGAUGAACAACUACGAAAGCAUUUGCCAAGGAUGUUUCCAUUAGUCAAGAACAAAAGCUAGGGGCUCAAAGAAAAUCAGAUAUCGUCCUAGUCUCAACCAUAAAUGAUGCCAACCAAGGAUCGUCGGAUGUUUCUUUUAGGACUCCACCAGUACCUUAUGAUAAAUCAAAGUCUUUGGGUUAUGGGGGGAGACUGGUCGUAGGGCUGAAACUUAAAGGAAUUGACAGAAGGGCACCACCAGGAGUGGAGCCUGAGGCUUAAUUUGACUCAACACGGGGAAACUUACUAGGUCCAAAGAUAGUGAGGAUUGACAGACUGAGAGCUCUUUCUUGAUUCUAUGUGUGGUGGUGCAUGGCCAUUCUUAGUUGGUAGAGCAAUUUGUCUAGUUAAUUCUGUUAACGAACGAGACUUCAGCCUGCUAACUAGCUACACGGAGGUGAUCCUCCGUGGCUAGCUUCUUAGUGGGACUAUGGCCUUUUCGGCCAAGGAAGUUUGAGACAAUAAAUGGUCUGUGAUGCCUUUAGAUGUUCUGGGCCGCACGCGCGCUACAUUGAUGUAUUCAAUGAGUCUAUAGCCUUAGCGGACAGGCUCUAGUAAUCUUUGAAAUUUCAUCGUGAUGGGGAUAGAUCAUUGCAAUUGUUGGUUUUCAACGAGGAAUUCUUAGUAAGCACAAGUCAUCAGCUCGCGUUGACUAUGUCCCUGCCCUUUAUGCACACCGCCCGUCGUUCCUACAGAUUGAAUGGUCCGGUGAAGUGUUCGGAUCGCGGCGACAUGGGCGGUUCACUACCCGCGACGUCAUAAGAAGUCCACUAAACCUUAUCAUUUAGAUGAAGGAGAAGUCGUAACAAGGUUUCCGUAGGUGAACCUACGGAAGGAUCAUUGUCGAAACCUUCCUAGUAGAACGACCCGUGAAUGAGUUGUAAACAAGCAUCCUCAGCGAUGGACCGGGCCCAAGUCCUCUGGAAAAGGGCAUCGGAGAGGGUGAGAGCCUCGUCGUGCUCGGACCCUGUCACACCACGAGGCACUAUCUACGAGUCGGGUUGUUUGGGAAUGCAGCCCUAAUCGGGCGAUAAAUUUCGCCCAAGGUUAAAUACAGGUGAGAGACCGAGAGCGAACAAGUACCGUGAGGGAAAGAUGAAAAGGACUUUGAAAAGAGAGUCAAAGAGUGCUUGAAUUGUCGAGAGGGAAGCGGAUGGGGGCUGGCGAUGCACCCCGAUCGAAUGUGGAACGAUGAGAGCUAGUCCAUCGAUCGACUCGGGGCAUGGAUCGACGUAGGUCAUGGCAGCAGCCUAAGCCCGAGCUCUUGAUACGCCCAUAGAGACGUCGUCACCUCAAUCGUGGGAUCCAGCACGCACCGUCUCGGCAUGCUUAUGCACCUGCGUGCUCCGAGCGUCGGCCUGCGAGAUCCCCAUUCGGCCUGUCCUGAAACACGAACGGUGGUCAUGAAAGUCAAAAUCCAUUAAGGAGUGUGUAACAACUCACCUGCCGAAUCACCUAGCCCUGCAUGUCGCGUGGUGUUCGGUGCGUCCCCGGUGGCCCUUGAAAAUUCAAAGAAUCGAGUGUCGUCCGAUCCCGAUCGUACUCAUAAUCACAUCAGGUCUCCAAGGUGAACAGCCUCUGGUCAAUGAAACAAUGUAGGCAAGGGAAAUUGGCAAAAUGGAUCCAUAACCUUGAGAAGAGGAUUGGCUCUGAGGGCUGGGCAUGGGGUUCCCAGUCUCGAACUCGUUCGCUGCUAGUGCACUGCUCGAGCUGCUCCCACAGCGAGAGCGGGUCGCUGCAUAUCGGUCGGGGGACGGACUGGGAACGGCUCCCUCAAGGGCCUUCCUCGGACGAUGAACAGUCAACUCAGAACUGGUACGAACAAGGGGAAUCUAACUAUUUAAUUAAAAGAAAGCAUUACGAUGGUCCCUGCGGAUACUCACGUAAUGUGAUUUCUACCUAGUGCUCAAAAUGUCAAAGUGAAGAAAUUCAACCAAGCGCGGGUAAACAGCGGGAGUAACUAUGACUCUCUUAAGGUAUCCAAAUGCCUCGUCAUCUAAUUAGUGACGCACAUGAAUGAAUUAACGAGAUUCCCACUAUCCCUGUCUGCUAUCCAGCGAAACCAAAGCCAAAGGAAUGGGCUUGGAAAAAUCAGCGGUGAAAGAAGACCCUGUUGAGCUUGACUCUAGUCCGACUUUAUGAAAUGACUUGAGAGGUUUAGGAUAAGUGGGAGCUCUCAGGUGAAAUUGAAAUAGCACUACUUUUAACGUUGUUUUACUUAUUCUAUGAAUCGUAGGUGGGGCAUGGCCUCUCUUUUUGGACCCAAGCCUGGCUUCGAUUGAUCGAUCCGGGCGAAAGACAUUGUCAGGUGGGGAGUUUGGCUAGGGCAUCACAUCUAUUAAAAGAUAACGCAAGUGUCCUAAGAUGAGCUUAACGAGAACAAAAAUCUCGUGUGGAACAAAAGGGUAAAAGCUCGUUUGAUUUUGAUUUCCAGUACGAAUACGAAUCGUGAAAGCGUGGCCUAUCGAUCCUUUAGACCUUCAAAAUUUGAAGCUAAAGCUGUUAGAAAAGUUGCCACAAGGAUAACUGGCUUGUUGCAGCCAAACGUUCAUAACAAUGUUGCUUUUUGAUCCUUCGAUGUCGGCUCUUCCUAUCAUUGUGAAGCAGAAUUCACCAAGUGUUGGAUUGUUCACCCACCAAUAGGGAACGUGAGCUGGGUUUAGACCGUCGUGAGAUAGGUAAGUUUUACCCUAUUGAUGGCUAUGUCGUAAUAGUAAUUCAACCUAGUACGAGAGGAAUCGUUGAUUCGCACAAUUGGUCAUCGCGCUUGGUUGAAAAGCCAGUGGCGGGAAGCUAUCAUGCGCUAGAUUAUGACUGAACGCCUCUAAGUCAGAAUCUGAGAUAAAAGCGAUGCACGUGUCCGUCGCCCAAUUACCGACCCGUAAUAGGGGCCUUUGGCUCCCAAGGGCACGUAUAGUAGGUUCAAUUCCAGAUAGGGAGCCUAAGAAACGGCUACCACAUCCAAGGAAGGAAACAGGCGUGCAAAUUACCCAAUCUUGACACGG